UACAGAGGAGCCAAGCGUUGUCCGGAUUGACUGGGCGUAAAGCGCACGCAGGCGGAUGCGCGCGUGGGGUGUGAAAUCUGGCCGCUUAACGGCCAGGCGCCAUCCCAUACGGCGCGUCUGGAGUGAUGCAGAGGUCGGUGGAAUUGCCGGUGUAGUGGUGAAAUGCGCAGAUAUCGGGAGGAACACCAAUGGCGAAGGCAGCUCGCUGGGACGGUACUGACGCUGAGACGCGAAAGCGUGGGGAGCAAACAGG
Molecule: ribosomal RNA, 253 nt
Filed under: uncultured bacterium
Lineage: Bacteria
Description: partial 16S ribosomal RNA
Rfam family: Bacterial small subunit ribosomal RNA
Source: RNAcentral